UACAGAGGGGGCAAGCGUUUUUCGGAAUUACUGGGCGUAAAGGGCGCGUAGGCGGCCUUCUAAGUCGAACGUGAAAUCCCUGGGCUUAACCCAGGAACUGCGUCCGAUACUGGAAGGCUUGAAUCCGGGAGAGGGAUGCGGAAUUCCAGGUGUAGCGGUGAAAUGCGUAGAUAUCUGGAGGAACACCGGUGGCGAAGGCGGCAUCCUGGACCGGCAUUGACGCUGAGGCGCGAAAGCCAGGGGAGCAAACGGG
This 253-nucleotide ribosomal RNA is filed under the name uncultured bacterium. RNAcentral describes it as "partial 16S ribosomal RNA". It matches the Rfam family "Bacterial small subunit ribosomal RNA", at positions 524 to 776 of the family's 1533-position model. The record is from RNAcentral.